CCUAUCCUUUUUAUCCUUUUUUCGUUAGCGGUUCCAAAUUCGUUAUCUUUCU
This 52-nucleotide transfer RNA is filed under the name Viburnum acerifolium (mapleleaf viburnum). RNAcentral's name for it is "partial tRNA-Leu". The record is from RNAcentral. Lineage: Eukaryota; Viridiplantae; Streptophyta; Magnoliopsida; Dipsacales; Adoxaceae.